CCCUACGCUGAGUUACCAGCACGUAAAGGUGGGGACGUCUCAGUGGACUGCCGGCGACAAGCCGGAGGAGGGUGGGGACGGACGUCAAGUCAUCAUGGCCCUCCAUGUCCAGGGCGACACACGUGCUACAAUGGCCGGCACAACGGGAAGCGACGGCGCGAGUCGUAGCGGAUCCCUCAAAGCCGGUCCCAGUUCGGAUUGCAGUCUGCAACUCGACUGCAUGAAGCCGGAAUCGCUAGUAAUCGUGGAUCAGCCAAGCCGCGGUGAAUACGUUCCCGGGCCUU
RNAcentral lists this ribosomal RNA (284 nucleotides) under uncultured Thermanaerovibrio sp. RNAcentral's name for it is "partial 16S ribosomal RNA". It matches the Rfam family "Bacterial small subunit ribosomal RNA", at positions 1103 to 1382 of the family's 1533-position model. Lineage: Bacteria; Thermotogati; Synergistota; Synergistia; Synergistales; Synergistaceae. The record is from RNAcentral.